RNAcentral lists this ribosomal RNA (558 nucleotides) under Trichoderma sp. MKZ-2007a. Its description in RNAcentral is "eukaryotic LSU rRNA". The stretch from base 175 to 328 matches the Rfam family "5.8S ribosomal RNA". The record is from RNAcentral. Lineage: Eukaryota; Fungi; Ascomycota; Sordariomycetes; Hypocreales; Hypocreaceae.
GUGAACGUUACAAACUGUUGCCUCGGCGGGAUCUCUGCCCCGGGUGCGUCGCAGCCCCGGACCAAGGCGCCCGCCGGAGGACCAACCAAAACUCUUAUUGUAUACCCCCUCGCGGGUUUUUUUAUAAUCUGAGCCUUCUCGGCGCCCCUCGUGGGCGUUUCGAAAAUGAAUCAAAACUUUCAACAACGGAUCUCUUGGUUCUGGCAUCGAUGAAGAACGCAGCGAAAUGCGAUAAGUAAUGUGAAUUGCAGAAUUCAGUGAAUCAUCGAAUCUUUGAACGCACAUUGCGCCCGCCAGUAUUCUGGCGGGCAUGCCUGUCCGAGCGUCAUUUCAACCCUCGAACCCCUCCGGGGGGUCGGCGUUGGGGAUCGGCCCUCCCUCUGCGGGGGCCGUCUCCGAAAUACAGUGGCGGUCUCGCCGCAGCCUCUCCUGCGCAGUAGUUUGCACACUCGCACCGGGAGCGCGGCGCGUCCACAGCCGUUAAACACCCAACUUUCUGAAAUGUUGACCUCGGAUCAGGUAGGAAUACCCGCUGAACUUAAGCAUAUCAAUAAGCGG